This 503-nucleotide ribosomal RNA is filed under the name uncultured bacterium. Its description in RNAcentral is "bacterial SSU rRNA". It matches the Rfam family "Bacterial small subunit ribosomal RNA", at positions 791 to 1299 of the family's 1533-position model. The record is from RNAcentral.
UAGUCCACGCCGUAAACGAUGGUCACUAGCUGUUCGGACUUCGGUCUGAGUGGCUAAGCGAAAGUGAUAAGUGACCCACCUGGGGAGUACGUUCGCAAGAAUGAAACUCAAAGGAAUUGACGGGGGCCCGCAUAAGCGGUGGAGCAUGUGGUUUAAUUCGAUGAUACGCGAGGAACCUUACCAGGGCUUAAAUGUAAGUUGCAUUAGCUAGAGAUAGCUAUUUCUUCGGACUACUUACAAGGUGCUGCAUGGUUGUCGUCAGCUCGUGCCGUGAGGUGUCAGGUUAAGUCCUAUAACGAGCGCAACCCCUGUUGUUAGUUGCCAGCGAGUCAAGUCGGGAACUCUAACAAGACUGCCAGUGCAAACUGUGAGGAAGGUGGGGAUGACGUCAAAUCAUCACGGCCCUUACGUCCUGGGCUACACACGUGCUACAAUGGUACAUACAGAGGGUUGCGAAGCCGCGAGGUGGAGCUAAUCUCAGAAAGUGUAUCUCAGUUCGGAUU